GAGUUUGAUCCUGGCUCAGGAUGAACGCUGGCGGCGUGCUUAACACAUGCAAGUCGAGCGAAGCACUUUUUUAGAACUCUUCGGAGGGAAGAGAGGGUGACUUAGCGGCGGACGGGUGAGUAACGCGUGGGCAACCUGCCUUACACAGGGGGAUAACAAUUAGAAAUGAUUGCUAAUACCGCAUAAGACCCCAGUGCCGCAUGGUACAGGGGUAAAAACUGAGGUGGUGUAAGAUGGGCCCGCGUCUGAUUAGGUAGUUGGUGGGGUAGAAGCCUACCAAGCCGACGAUCAGUAGCCGACCUGAGAGGGCGACCGGCCACAUUGGGACUGAGACACGGCCCAAACUCCUACGGGAGGCAGCAGUGGGGAAUAUUGCACAAUGGGGGAAACCCUGAUGCAGCGACGCCGCGUGAGUGAGGAAGUAUUUCGGUAUGUAAAGCUCUAUCAGCAGGGAAGAAAAUGACGGUACCUGACUAAGAAGCCCCGGCUAACCACGUGCCAGCAGCCGCGGUAAUACGUAGGGGGCAAGCGUUAUCCGGAUUUACUGGGUGUAAAGGGAGCGUAGACGGAAUUGCAAGUCUGAUGUGAAAAUCCGGGGCCCAACCCCGGAACUGCAUUGGAAACUGUAUUUCUAGAGUGUCGGAGAGGCAAGUGGAAUUCCUGGUGUAGCGGUGAAAUGCGUAGAUAUCAGGAGGAACACCAGUGGCGAAGGCGGCUUGCUGGACGAUGACUG
RNAcentral lists this ribosomal RNA (733 nucleotides) under uncultured bacterium. RNAcentral's name for it is "bacterial SSU rRNA". It matches the Rfam family "Bacterial small subunit ribosomal RNA", at positions 9 to 742 of the family's 1533-position model. The record is from RNAcentral.